Long non-coding RNA from Malurus melanocephalus (red-backed fairy wren), 3828 nucleotides. RefSeq lists it as uncharacterized. The record is from RefSeq and is a predicted model, not a curated record. NCBI's taxonomy places the organism in Eukaryota, Metazoa, Chordata, Aves, Passeriformes, Maluridae. The transcript has 3 exons.
ACUCCGUGCAUCAGUUAGGUCUUUUUCUCUUUCCAUUUAACUGCCUUUUACCUUGCUGGAUGUAAAUGACACUGCUCUCCUCUGAGACCCCCUCCAUUAUAGGCUCCUAGGAGGCAGGGAAACAAAAUGCAAGUCUUUCAUUCACAUCAGGUUGUUAUUGAUCUUCUUGAUCCCUCACCUUCCCCUUUUAAUGGUGCCACAAUAAAAUAUAGCAACAAUUUAUUUCAUGGUAGAACUUCCAUGACUUUCAUCUUAAGCCUGAAUAGGCAGAGACAUCAUACAGAUGUGUACUUCACUUAUUCACAUAUACCUUGAUAUGGAUUACUUGGAAAUAUCAUGACAUCAAUUUUUUUUCUUGUGUGAAACAUAUUCUUCUACUUAUUUCUAAAGCCUGYUCCGUUGCUUGGGUUCUAGAAUUAAUCACCUGCUGCUAUUUUGCAUUUUGAACCUGCCAUCAGAGACAGCUUUGCAAUACCUGUUGCAGAUAUCUCUCUGCCUCCACCUCACUUGCCUUUAAUCCACUGAGUGGGCGUUUGCCUUUGAUUGUAAGAAAGUUCUCAGAUCUCUCACCUUUCAUUUCCAAAUACCUGGAAGGUGACUUCCAGUCCUUUGACUAUUUUACCUAUCCUGCCCAAACUUAGGGCAAGGUAAAAAGGAGGUUCUGCAGUGUUACAAAUGACAAUAGGAUUUCUGGGGCAUUUACUGACCUGGUAAUAUUGCAUAAGGAAUUUUAUGAGUGGAUUUUCUUUWAGUUUGUGUGGAUGAAAUUUCCAGGUUGGAAAACUAUAAGUUCAAGAAAAUGUGAGACUAUAUUUCAACAUUUGAGCUGAGAAAGAAAUCUCCAGUCUCUUGAAGAACUGUUAAUAAGUUAAAUUGCUUAAGAUCUUGCUAAACCUGACCUUUUCCACAUUAAAAAGAAAUAGUAAUUUUAUUGGUUAUUUGAACAUUAUUUUGCGAUUAGAACUUCUCGUAUAUACUGGAUGGAAGAAAGGAGGGACAUGACCACACAGGAGCACAGUAACAUGUGAGUACACAGUAGCACAGAAAACUUUUCAUUAAARGUGUCUAGGUUUGGAUUCAUAUCCUUGGGCAACCCCAAACACAGUUCUUUUAAUGCUUGUCAAAGGGAUCCUCUUUAUCUCAACUGAAAGGAAAUCAAUAUUAUUAAUUGAACACAUAUCCAGUUCUGUUAUAUGAACUAGCGUAGAAAGGAGAAGACAAAAAGGCGAUUGAAUCAAUGGAGAAUGAUCAGGUAUUUUUCUUACUCUUUACACAAACAUCACUACUGCACUCUCUCAUCAAAUUUAAGCCACCCUCCAUGAUCAUGGGUACUGUGGAGCUGCAGUUUAGGUGAUGCUGAGAUCUUGUUUUUAGCUCUCAAUUGCCUUUUUGCAGAGUUGUAGAGCUUCCUUUAAGCCACGGUCAGACCAAAUGUGACAGAAAAACUGCGUUGUGCCAUCUGCAGCAGACAACAGGAAAAUAAACAUUCUUUAAAUUAUUGCAAGGCGUGGAUGAAGAGAUUUCCUCUGGGAUACUGGCAGAAACUAUUUAAAAGUUCAAGGGAAGAGGUUUCUACAGCUUUCCUGGCUUCCCAGUAAAACCUCAGAAGAUGUCCUGACAAGCUCUGCCUGACAUCUUUGCCUCCAGUUUCACAGUGAUGAUGACACCACCUUGGUUGCUUCCCUGGGAACCUGGCAAGGGCACGACUGUGCACAAAGGGAGUCUUCACUCAUUARAACAUACAGAGACAUUGUACCAAGAAGCCUUUUCCAUUUAUCCCCAAGUAAGAUUUUAAAGGAUCAAAAGGGGGGAGAAGAGAGGAGAAGACCUUUAAUGCAUUGUGUUUUAUAAUGAUGAUUUCCAUGGGACACUGAGCAUAUCAAAUCCCACAUUUCUGAAGAUCUUGUGGAGUCUUCAGUCAGACACGCACGUGUACCAUCAGCUGUUAACUGCAUGGAUGCUGGAGACCCAAGCAGCGCAGGCAUGAGGGUUUGUGAGCUGUGGAGCUGUGAGGAGUAGUCCUGCAGAAACCUCAGUGACAGAGGUCACGAAAUGCUGGCACUGCUCUUGGGAGUGAAAGUCACCUGACUGARGUGGAAAUGCACUGACCUGUUUCCCAAGCCAGUUUGGCCUGGAGCUCUGCGGAGUUCACAAACCUGUUUGCACGGUGUGAACCAGCCCUUGGGAGCAGACAGGUCCUCACCAGGCUGACCCCUGGAACCUGUGCCUGUGUCCCUGCCACCACACUCCUCAGCACCAUCCAGCCUCUGGCAGUGAAAUACAGUCCCACAGUUGUUUCUUCAUAUUCUGCUCAACUCUUUUUUUUCCAACAAAGCACCUCAUUAAGUCAGAUUAGGAGGAAACAGUAUGCCAGUUGGCCAGUCUUUAGCACACACUGAAUGCUGUCUUAAAUAGUUCCCAUAAUAUUAAUGCAUAGUGUCUUUGUCCUCAGGGCAUUUGUUAUUAUCAGAUGUUUCUCCUUCUUCCUGCUGCAUGAAGCUCAAAAUUGCAACAUAUGCUGCACAACACAUACCUUUGUUUCUUAACUCCUGCACCCACAUUUUCACCUGAUGUUUAUCAGCAUAGCUAAAAUCAGUCCAGGGCAGAUAUCCAGCUCUUCUGAAGGUACUCUGCCACACACCUGGGUCUGCCUGGUUGAUUGCUCCUAAAGCUCUUGCAACAGGAUAGAUUUCUGUGCAACCCUCCCUUCAUCUCURCAAGUAUGCAAAGCAGUGCUUAUGUCUCCAGAGUCAGGGAUUUAUCAGCUGGGGUGAAAUCUGCCUAACAACAAAGUGAAGGGGAUUUUGUGCACUGAAAGUACCUGAGCAGCAGGCAGGGAACAUCUGAGGUGGCUGCACACAUGGUUUUUGGGAUCGCAGGUGGUCUCUGGGGUGCCCUGCCCAUGGAAGGCAGGAUUCAUCACUGCUUUUGUGCCCCACGUUGCAGCACAGUGCAGUGACCCGAUGUUCCCUUGACUUACACAGUGUCCAGGAAAACUGGAUGGGACAUUCUGAGCAGCAGACAUUACUGUCAGGUCCACCUACCCACAUACAAACCCCUCCACUAGCAGAAGAGUGGAGGGAGGAACACUGGGCGGGGUGACUGUGAGCCUCAGGAGGCAGUCAUGUCCCCCACUGGUACCCCACGAACUGGCAGCAUGAGUGACGGCCCUAAAAAUCUUCUUAAUUGGCUUUUCUUAAAGAGCAGYUCCCUGCAAAAAUUCCAGCACUGAGAAAGGAAGUCAGUGGGGGUGUGUGGUUGAGUUAGGGUCAAAUGUGUCUGACUGAGAGCAAUCACAUUUCAGCACUUUUUUUUGAAGCCUCGAAUGAACACUGAGUUUUCAGGUUUUCUCUUUCUCUUUACCAUAAUUUUUGAUGGUAUUUAUUUUUUUUUAGUGGUUAUCUAAAGGCAAGUCCGAACUGUGGUCCCCUUAAUAACUGCAAAAGUAAUUGCUUCUUAACUCAGGUUCUUGGAAAUAGCAAAUGAUACUUUUCCUAUUUAUUUUGAAGGGUAUUGACAGCUUUCUGUUGCUAAAUAAGAGGUGUUUCAGUUCAGCAGACUGAAAGUAGGKCAUUGUCCCAAUCUGUACUUACAAUAACAAUGCAAAACAGAUUUUUGCAACUUUUUUGCAAAAAUUGCAUUUUGCAGAGCAGUGAUUUUGUUGGCACAGUAACACUUCAUCRUAUUUUGAACAAAGUCUGUAGGGUGAUAUGAGGACAGAUAAAAUAAUGCUUUAUCUGAGCUCAGAGGGCCCACAGAACAUCUAUACAACUGAAGCUACUUAAGACUCAAGGAAAUUAAAGCCAAGUUUCUGUCCUGAAGGGAAUC